GACGAACGCUGGCGGCGUGCUUAACACAUGCCAGUCGAACGGAAAGGCCCUGCUUGCAGGGUACUCGAGUGGCGAACGGGUGAGUAACACGUGGGUGAUCUGCCCUGCACUUCGGGAUAAGCCUGGGAAACUGGGUCUAAUACCGGAUAGGAGCCAUUUUUAGUGUGAUGGUUGGAAAGUUUUUUCGGUGUAGGAUGAGCUCGCGGCCUAUCAGCUUGUUGGUGGGGUAAUGGCCUACCAAGGCGGCGACGGGUAGCCGGCCUGAGAGGGUGGACGGCCACAUUGGGACUGAGAUACGGCCCAGACUCCUACGGGAGGCAGCAGUGGGGAAUAUUGCACAAGGGGCGCAAGCCUGAUGCAGCGACGCCGCGUGGGGGAGGACGGCCUUCGGGUUGUAAACUCCUUUCGCUAGGGACGAAGCUUUUUGUGACGGUACCUAGAUAAGAAGCACCGGCUAACUACGUG
RNAcentral lists this ribosomal RNA (465 nucleotides) under uncultured bacterium. RNAcentral describes it as "partial 16S ribosomal RNA". It matches the Rfam family "Bacterial small subunit ribosomal RNA", at positions 28 to 507 of the family's 1533-position model. The record is from RNAcentral.